GUAGGUGGCAAGCGUUGUCCGGAAUUAUUGGGCGUAAAGCGCGCGCAGGCGGUCCUUUAAGUCUGAUGUGAAAGCCCACGGCUCAACCGUGGAGGGUCGUUGGAAACUGGGGGACUUGAGUACAGAAGAGGAAAGCGGAAUUCCAAGUGUAGCGGUGAAAUGCGUAGAGAUUUGGAGGAACACCAGUGGCGAAGGCGGCUUUCUGGUCUGUAACUGACGCUGAGGCGCGAAAGCGUGGGGAGCAAACAGGAUUAGAUACCCUGGUAGUCCACGCCGUAAACGAUGAGUGCUAAGUGUUAGGGGGUUUCCCGCCCCCCUUAGUGCUGCAGCUAACGCAUUAAGCACUCCGCCUGGGGGAGUACGGCCGCAAGGCUG
RNAcentral lists this ribosomal RNA (375 nucleotides) under uncultured organism. RNAcentral describes it as "partial 16S ribosomal RNA". It matches the Rfam family "Bacterial small subunit ribosomal RNA", at positions 527 to 896 of the family's 1533-position model. The record is from RNAcentral.